GGAGCUUGCUUUGGGAAUGCCUAGUGGCGCACGGGUGAGCAACACGUGAGUGACAUACCCCGCAGUGGGGGAUAGCCCGNCGAAAGGCGGAUUAUACCCCAUGGUAUCGCAAGAUUAAAGGUGGCUUCGGCUGCCGCUGCGGGAUUGGCUCGCGUCCUAUCAGUUAGUUGGUGAGGUAACGGCUCACCAAUGCGACGACGGGUAGCUGGUCUGAGAGGAUGAUCAGUCUCACUGGAACUGAGACACGGUCCAGACACCUACGGGUGGCAGCAGUCGAGAAUAAUUCACAAUGGACGAAAGUCUGAUGGUGCAACGCCGCGUGGAGGAUGACGGUCUUCGGAUUGUAAACUCCUGUCAUCGGGGAGUAAGACCUGGCUGUGAAUAGCAGACAGGGUUGAUAGUACCCGAAGAGGAAGGGACGGCUAACUUCGUGCCAGCAGCCGCGGUAAUACGAAGGUCCCGAGCGUUGUUCGGAAUCACUGGGCGUAAACGGAGCGUAGGCGGCAGGGUAAGUCAGAUGUGAAAUCCCGGGGCUCAACCCCGGAACGGCAUCCGAUACUGCCCUGCUUGAGUAAUGGAGGGGUAGCUGGAAUUCUCGGUGUAGCAGUGAAAUGCGUGGAUAUCGAGAGGAACACUCGUGGCGAAAGCGAGCUACUGGACAUUGACUGACGCUGAGGCUCGAAGGCCAGGUUAGCGAAAGGGAUUAGAUACCCCUGUAGUCCUGGCAGUAAACGGUGUGCGCUUGGUGUGAGGGGUUUCGACCCCCCUUGUGCCGGAGCUAACGCGUUAAGCGCAACCGCCUGGGAAGUACGGUCGCAAGACUAAAACUCAAAGAAAUUGACGGGGACCCGCACAAGCGGUGGAGUAUGUGGCUUAAUUCGAUGCAACGCGAAGAACCUUACCUGGGCUUGACAUGCAUUGCUAAUCCGCUGAAAGGCGGUGAGUCUUCGGACACUUGCAACAGGUGCUGCAUGGCCGUCGUCAGCUCGUGUCGUGAGAUGUUGGGUUAAGUCCCGCAACCGAGCGCAACCCCUGUGAUUAGUUUGCCAGCACGUGAAGGUGGGACCUCUAAUCAGACUGCCCAGAUCAAC
Molecule: ribosomal RNA, 1091 nt
Filed under: uncultured organism
Description: bacterial SSU rRNA
Rfam family: Bacterial small subunit ribosomal RNA
Source: RNAcentral